UUUGGCGCGGCACACCUCGACUUAUUUUAAAGGAAAACUAAAAAAAAUUCGAAGGUGCCAUAAGCUAUUUGACGAAUCGUGACUAAUUGGACUUAAUGCUUCUGGAAAAUCCUUAUUAGCACACAUGCCUUGUAUUUUUCAAAACGACUAUACCAUUCAAAAUUAUAGCUCAACAAAAUAAAGUCAGUGAUUGAACAAUGAGCUUCUAUCAUUUUAAACAUUUGUAAUUUACACGAAUAGCCACCCAAAUAGCUAUAUUGUUGAUUAUAGAAUACAUCAUCACAAAGGAAUAAAAUAACCCAACAAUUAAACUCAAACUCAUGUUAUCCAAGUUCAGAAAAUGCAUUAGAAGGAAAUGAACUAAUUUUGACAGAAAAAGUUGUUUUAAUUAUAUUUUGUAUGCUGAAUCAAACUAGGUGAGGUAUUUAAACUAGCAGAGGACUUUUAACUUCAAAUCUGCAUAUAACCUACAAGCAUCAAUCCCCAGCCUGAUCUCCAAAUUUUGAUAGCAAACUAAUGAACAAUUGUUUCCAAUUAAUAGGACAAUGAAAUCGCAGAAUCCUCCAUCCUGAAAUCGCUAAACUGAACUUCUUCCAAACCAAACAUGGCCACAUGAGGAUCAGGCUUCAAAUAUACCACGCUAAAGGUUAUCCCAAACAUGAAUCAUCAUUUUAACAGUAAUGUAUUACCAAAAAUAUUGAAACCAAUAUAUGAGGAAUCAACAAGUUGAAUAUUUAAAUUAAAAUACACCGGCAAUAUCCAGGAUUAACGGAAUAAGUACUCUAAUUAACUUGGAAGUCUUAAACAUGCUGGACCCAUAAAAUUAAACACAAAACAUGACAAGAUAACCCAUAUUUUCAUUUAGAAAUGCAACAGAGAAUUACAGUUGACCUGUACGUACCUAAAAUGCAGAGUAAAGGCCACUAUUUGACUUGAAUCAACUUCCAUAAAUUCUUCAGGACAGCUAAAAUGCAGAGUAAAGGCCACUAUUAGACUUGAAUCAACUUCCAUAAAUACUUCAGGACAACUACAAGCAGAACAACAUCAAAGAAAUGGACCAAAAUGAUGGUCUGAGUUCAGCCACCAAACAGCCGAUUCAACAGCAGAAAUCAAUACACAGCUUCAGUCUCGAGCUCUAAAUUGCCCGGGAUCCCAGAAAUCAACUCAAACCUCCAUUGAAAUCUCCGUUUUUCUUUAGUUUUUCGAAGCCUUUUUUUUAGAUUUGAUUUUUUUUUGAAAUUUAAAAGGGUCCCUUCUUUUCCAGAUAUGUGUAGGUGUAUAUGAAUGGGUGUGGGUGAAGGUGAGAAAUGAGAGUGAAGAAGACAGAGAAGAAUAAGGGACGACAGUCAGCUCUUCUAUGGAGAGAGAUUUGUGAGCUGCUGCUGAUUUUUCCGUUUUUCCGCCCUCUCUUGCGCCGCUGCUGCAUUUUUGGAAAGGUGAGAGUGCGAUCUUUGUUUUCAGUGGAGAAAUGAAGAAGAAGAAGACAGAAACUGAGAGCCUUGGGGUUGCGUCGUUCUUGUGUCUGUAUCGGUGUCUAGGGAUUUAGGCGUGUUUUUUCAUCUGAUGCCUUGGGUCCUUUUAAUGGGGAAGGGAUUAGGUUUAAUGAAGGGGGAA
This 1614-nucleotide long non-coding RNA is filed under the name Nicotiana tabacum (common tobacco). Its description in RNAcentral is "long non-coding RNA (NTAB_LNC011158)". Lineage: Eukaryota; Viridiplantae; Streptophyta; Magnoliopsida; Solanales; Solanaceae. The record is from RNAcentral.